RNAcentral lists this ribosomal RNA (253 nucleotides) under uncultured bacterium. RNAcentral describes it as "partial 16S ribosomal RNA". It matches the Rfam family "Bacterial small subunit ribosomal RNA", at positions 524 to 776 of the family's 1533-position model. The record is from RNAcentral.
UACGUAGGGUGCAAGCGUUGUCCGGAAUUAUUGGGCGUAAAGAGCUCGUAGGCGGUUUGUCGCGUCGAAUGUGAAAACCCGGGGCUCAACCCCGGGCCUGCAUUCGAUACGGGCAGACUAGAGUUCGGUAGGGGAGUCUGGAAUUCCUGGUGUAGCGGUGAAAUGCGCAGAUAUCAGGAGGAACACCGGUGGCGAAGGCGGGACUCUGGGCCGAUACUGACGCUGAGGAGCGAAAGCGUGGGGAGCAAACCGG